GACGAACGCUGGCGGCGUGCUUAACACAUGCAAGUCGAACGGUAAGGCCCCUUCGGGGGUACACGAGUGGCGAACGGGUGAGUAACACGUGGGUAAUCUGCCCUGCACUUCGGGAUAAGCCUGGGAAACUGGGUCUAAUACCGGAUAUGAGCUCCUGCCGCAUGGUGGGGGUUGGAAAGUUUUUCGGUGCAGGAUGAGUCCGCGGCCUAUCAGCUUGUUGGUGGGGUAAUGGCCUACCAAGGCGACGACGGGUAGCCGGCCUGAGAGGGUGAUCGGCCACACUGGGACUGAGACACGGCCCAGACUCCUACGGGAGGCAGCAGUGGGGAAUAUUGCGCAAUGGACGGAAGUCUGACGCAGCGACGCCGCGUGAGCGAUGAAGGUCUUCGGAUCGUAAAGCUCUGUCCUUGGGGAAGAAGGUCUUCGGACUUGACGGUACCCAAGAAGAAAGCCCCGGCUAACUACGUG
Molecule: ribosomal RNA, 468 nt
Filed under: uncultured bacterium
Lineage: Bacteria
Description: bacterial SSU rRNA
Rfam family: Bacterial small subunit ribosomal RNA
Source: RNAcentral